UCCAAAGUUCCGUUCCGCUGAGGGAUGGCUUUUUCCCCAAGUGUAGAUAGCCGGGGGAAUAAGGAGGGGGCAAGUCUGGUGUCAGCCAACGCAGUAAUACCAGCUCUCCGAGUGGUGGGGGCGUUUAUUGGGCCUGAAGCAUCCGUAGCCAGCUGAGCAAGUCCCCAGUUAAAUCCAGCGAUUUAAUCGUUGGACUGCUGGGGAUACUGUCCGGCUUGGGGGUGGGAGAGGCCGACGGUAUUCCCGGGGUAGGGGUGAAAUCCUAUAAUCCCGGGAGGACCACCAGUGGCGAAGGCUGUUGGCUAAAACAUGCCCGACGGUGAGGGAUGAAAGCUGGGGGAGCGAACCGGAUUAGAUACCCGGGUAGUCCCAGCUGUAAACGAUGCAGGCUAGGUGUUAGGGCGGCCACGUGCCGCUCUAGUGCCGCAGGGAAGCUGUUAAGCCUGCCGCCUGGGGAGUACGGCCGCAAGGCUGAAACUUAAAGGAAUUGGCGGGGGAGCAC
Molecule: ribosomal RNA, 502 nt
Filed under: crenarchaeote enrichment culture clone 61-33f
Lineage: Archaea; Thermoproteati; Thermoproteota
Description: bacterial SSU rRNA
Rfam family: Archaeal small subunit ribosomal RNA
Source: RNAcentral